Molecule: ribosomal RNA, 435 nt
Filed under: uncultured bacterium
Lineage: Bacteria
Description: partial 16S ribosomal RNA
Rfam family: Bacterial small subunit ribosomal RNA
Source: RNAcentral
GGUAUUACNUAGGGGCAAGNNUUUUCCGGAAUUACUNGGNGUAAAAGCGUGAGUAGGCGGUUAAUAAAGUCAGNGGUUAAAGGUUGGGGNUCAACCCCAUUAAGCUNUUGAAACUUAUUAACUUGAGUAUAGGAGAGGAAAAGUGGAAUUCCCNGUGUAGCGGUGAAAUGCGUAGAUNUCGGGAGGAGUACCGGUGGCGAANGGCGACUUUCUGGACUUAAAACUGACGCUGAGUCACGAAAGCAUGGGUAGCAAACAGGAUUAGAUACCCUGGUAGUCCAUGCUGUAAACGAUGAACACUAGGUGUCGGGUAGAAAUAUUCGGUGCCGUAAGCAAACGCAAUAAGUGUUCCGCCUGGGGAGUACGUUCGCAAGAAUAAAACUCAAAGGAAUUGACGGGGACCCGCACAAGUAGCGGAGCAUGUGGUUUAAUUCG